Molecule: long non-coding RNA, 248 nt
Organism: Globicephala melas (long-finned pilot whale)
Lineage: Eukaryota; Metazoa; Chordata; Mammalia; Artiodactyla; Delphinidae
Source: RefSeq, a predicted model, not a curated record
CGGGACACUACGCGUUUUCGGAGUGGAGGUGCUACGCGGUGUCCAGGAAGCUUCCUCCUGCAUUAGGAGGUCUAUACAUGCUGUUAUCUCUGCUGGACUCUCCUCCCAUCUCUUCAUCUAGCUGGAACUCACAUCACAGCUGCCCUAUUUACUUACCUACUGGCUGCAUUCCUUAGAACCAGUUUUUUUCCUGUUCAAAUGGAAACCAGGCAGAAUUGGGAAAAUAUUUCUUCAGCCAGCUCCUCAGC